AUGGCCAUGGCGUCCGCCGACGAAAAUGGGGCCGGCAACCACAACAAAAACACAGACUCCCUCAAGGCUUCCACGGAGUUCCAGCUGAAGAAGUACCUGCUGCUGCUUGCCACCCUGGUGGCGACGGUGACCUACGUGGCGGGGCUCAACCUGCCGGGGGGUUCCUGGACGGAGGACACUCCCGGCGGGCAGGUGGCCGGCGAGCCAAUCCUCCGGGAGACCUACUACUACCGCUACAUCGUCUUCUACUACUGCAACGCCAUCUCCUUUGCGGCGUCGCUCGUCGUCAGCCUCCUCCUCCUCGUGCUGCAUAAGGGCGGCAACUACCACCACUUGCUCCGGCCGAUCAUGGUGAUUGACCUGUUCGGCCUUAUGGGGGCCUACGCUGCCGGGAGCAGCCGCGACAAGUUCACCACCGUCUGCGCCGCAGUGAUGGUGGCUGGCCUCGCUGCUUAUGUCACUGUCGCCUUCCUCUGGUACGUACUCCGCCGCGCGACAGGAGGCACGGCCGCCAACAAAAAAGAAGAGAGUCCAGAUCAAGAGGCGGCGGCACUCGCGGAGCACGAGAUCCUGAUGGUGCUCGCCAUCUUCGUGGCAACCGUCGCGUACGUGGCCGCAAUGAACCCGCCUGGAGGCUUCUGGCGAAGCACCCAGGAGGGCCACCACACUGGCGGUGACCCGAUUCUGCAGGGCGGCCACUCCGGCCGCUACAAGUUCUUCUUCUUCUUUAACACCACCGCCUUCGUCACGUCCCUGCUCGCCAUCAUGCUCAUCCUCGACUAUAAGAAACUCAACAUCAGCAGUGACAGAUUUGGCGUAGGGCGUUGCGGUCUCUAUGUAUCCCUCGUCAUCGCGGUCGGCGGCCUCGGCGGCGCCUACGCUGCCGGGAGCUGCAGGAACCUUGAGAGCACUGCCAUUGUUCUGUCCCUAGGGCCAGCUGUUCUAAUCUACAUUGCUCUCCAGGCAAUCGCGGGCGUUUCUACAGACAAACUCCCGUGUAUUGGUCGCAUGUGCAGUUAUCCAAGAAAAUGGCUGACGGUAAUAACAAGAUUCGUCACUGAUUCCACUUGCACUUCCAGACCACCACCACCACUGACCGACGAAAAAGAAAAAGACAAGAUUCUGAAGAGACAACGUGAUGAAAAUGAAAAACUCAACAAGGCCCGCGAGUUUAUUCAGUUGCUCGCUAUACUUGCGGCGACCAUCACUUAUCAAGCUGGACUUGAUCCACCAGGAGGCCUCUGGCUGGAGAGUGGGGAAGGCCAUACUGUUGGAGACUCAAUACUCCUCACAACACACCCAAUACGGUACAAGGCCUUCUUCUACUCUAAUUCGGUGGCCUUCGUGGCGUCCUUGGUCAUCAUCGUCAUGCUGCAGAGCGAGAGGCUAGUUAGGCUCCACAUACUGGAGGCUACUAUGAUACUAGACCUGUUCAGCCUCAUGGGUGCUUACGCCGCGGGGAGCAGCCGGGACACGAGCACCUCCAUCUACAUUGUGGCCAUGGCUGGCGCCGUCCUGAUCUACGUGGUGAUCCACAUAGUCUUCUUCACGCUCGACCCUGAAGACAUGGACACGGAUGUGCUGGACAAGUGUCGCGAGGUGCUGCUACUCCUCGCGAUCUUGGCCGCCAGCAUCACCUACCAAGCCGGGCUGACCCCGCCGGGCGGCUUCUGGGAGGUGGACGACGAGAAGCACGGGCACCACGCCGGCUUCUCCAUCCUCCAGGACAAGUACCAUCUCCGUUACAAGGCCUUCUUUUACUGCAACGCGGCGAGCUUCAUGGCGUCUGUGGCUCUCAUCAUCCUCCUCGUUAAUCCCACCCUGUACAAGCCGGCCAUAGAGUGCUAUGCCCUCUUUGUGUGCAUGGUGGGGGGCAUGUUUGGCCUCAUGGGUGCCUACGCUGCCGGGAGCUCCCUGCACCUCCGAGCCUCCAUCAUCAUCUUGGUAUUGGUUGCUCUGGUGUUUGGUUUUGUAGUGUAUCUGGUACUGACAGGCUCCCACAAGCUGAAGCGAAAGGAACCUGCUGGACAAGGAGAGCCGCAGGGAGGUCAUGUGACCGACGAUGCGGCCAAGGACCAAAAUCAACCUGGACAAGGAGUGCAAGGACAUCAUGUGGCCGACAAUGCGGCCAAGGACCAAAUACAACCUGCACAAGGAGUGCAGGGAGAUCAUGUGGCCGACCAUGCGGCCAAGCACCAAAAGCAACCUGCAGAAGGAAAUAAUGUGGCUGACAACAACAAGGCCAUAUACCUGAUGCUGCUAGGGAUACUGUCUGCCAGCGUGACCUACCUGACCGGCCUGAAACCGCCCGGCGGCCUGUGGAGGGACGACAACAAUGGGCAUUCCGCUGGCAGCCCGGUCCUGUACGACAUGGACAGGCGGCGGUACAUGGUCUACUUCUACAGCAACUCCAUCUCGUUCAUGGCUUCCAUCAUCGUCAUCGCCUUGCUGCUGCUCCUGCCGCUUCUGGGUUACAAGAGCGAUCAUUGCUCGUUGCACACGGUGAUGGUACUGGACAUGCUCGCCCUCCUGGUAGCCUACGCCGCAGGCAGUGCCCGGAAGUGGGGCACAUUUUGGAAGGUCAUCCUGCUGCUCCUCCCCACAGUGAUCUUCCUACGGCUUCUAUUCUGGUGCAAGAAUAAAUACCGUAGCACCGCAAAACCAAAACCAGGAGUCAUUGCUGCUCCAAAUCAAGAAGCCACUGCAACUCAGUAA
Molecule: ribosomal RNA, 2715 nt
Filed under: Triticum aestivum (bread wheat)
Lineage: Eukaryota; Viridiplantae; Streptophyta; Magnoliopsida; Poales; Poaceae
Description: partial small subunit ribosomal RNA
Source: RNAcentral